Molecule: transfer RNA, 76 nt
Filed under: Vulcanisaeta sp. EB80
Lineage: Archaea; Thermoproteati; Thermoproteota; Thermoprotei; Thermoproteales; Thermoproteaceae
Description: tRNA-Phe
Rfam family: tRNA
About the family: Transfer RNA (tRNA) molecules are approximately 80 nucleotides in length. Their secondary structure includes four short double-helical elements and three loops (D, anti-codon, and T loops). Further hydrogen bonds mediate the characteristic L-shaped molecular structure. tRNAs have two regions of fundamental functional importance: the anti-codon, which is responsible for specific mRNA codon recognition, and the 3' end, to which the tRNAs corresponding amino acid is attached (by aminoacyl-tRNA synthetases). tRNAs cope with the degeneracy of the genetic code in two manners: having more than one tRNA (with a specific anti-codon) for a particular amino acid; and 'wobble' base-pairing, i.e. permitting non-standard base-pairing at the 3rd anti-codon position.
Source: RNAcentral
GCCGCCGUAGCUCAGUCGGGAGAGCGACCGGCUGAAGACCGGUAGGUCCCGGGUUCAAAUCCCGGCGGCGGCACCA